This 253-nucleotide ribosomal RNA is filed under the name uncultured bacterium. RNAcentral's name for it is "partial 16S ribosomal RNA". It matches the Rfam family "Bacterial small subunit ribosomal RNA", at positions 524 to 776 of the family's 1533-position model. The record is from RNAcentral.
UACGAAGGGGGCUAGCGUUGCUCGGAAUUACUGGGCGUAAAGCGCACGUAGGCGGAUUGUUAAGUCGGGGGUGAAAUCCUGGAGCUCAACUCCAGAACUGCCUUCGAAACUGGCGAUCUUGAGUCCGGGAGAGGUGAGUGGAACUGCGAGUGUAGAGGUGAAAUUCGUAGAUAUUCGCAAGAACACCAGUGGCGAAGGCGGCUCACUGGCCCGGUACUGACGCUGAGGCGCGAAAGCGUGGGGAGCAAACAGG